UGGGAGCUGGACCCAGGGCAUCUGCACUGGGGUGGCCCCAGCCCCGUCUGCAGGCAGAGGGAGCAGAGGGUCCCACCAGCAGCUGGGUGGCACUCGGCUCUUCCUCCUGGGCUGUGGAAGGAGAUGUCAGAAUCCCAAAAGAUCAGAAAUAGCUUUCUGAAGGAAAAAAGGGCUUAAAAAGAGAGUUAAACCCGAAUGUUAAUUUUAACCAGGUCCUACUGAACUUCGGUGGCUGGAGCACUGCAGCGUGCGUGCUCCUUGUAGCAGCGAGGAGAGAUGAGCCCGGCGCGGGACCGGAAUAGCUGUGAAAUUCUGAGAAGUUUGGGUUUGGUUCCAAACUUUAUCACCGACCGCUGCUGCUGCAGCGGCCAAACCAGUGGCUUUGAUGUGAAAUCCCAAAUUCUGCAAGCAUCUGAGUCUGAACAUCGAGGGCUGGUUACAUUGCCAAUAACAGGCAAACUCUGUGUGAGCUCCGAAAUAACAGUGUACACUGGGGGCCAUGGAAAAGGAGUGAGGUCCUUUUCCCUUCCUGUUUUAAAAUCAAUGCAGACUUUACCAGAUAGUACUGUUUUCUCCUUUGCUUGCAGUACAAAGGCAGUGUUGAUGAAACUUUGGCAACUUGGGGGAUUGCUAAUGGCCCAAGAGUUUUUUGCAUGCCUGGACUGCCAGGUCACACUCAGAAUGAGUUGUGUGUGGCUUCGAGGGUAUUUUCGUGGCUCUCUUGUGGCUCCUGUGACACAAAUUUAGUGGCCAGCUACGACUUAACCUCCCGUCACUACUGCGAGCGCCCCAGGUUUUCGGUAGCAGUCUCAGCAGAGGAGCCAAGCAGAGAGGAGCCGUGCUGGGUCCCGUGGGGCUCCCGGCAGAACUGGGCACACUCUGGGCACAUCCCUCUGCCCAGGGAACUGUCCCUGCAGUGAUUCCUGCUCUCUGAGGGAACUAACCCCAUGCCUUUUCUGGCCACCCCUCUGUACACAUGCAGUAGCUGGAGACCACGAGGAUGGGAAGUUGUUGCUUCUCAGCUGGGAGAUGAGCAUCUUCCACUACCAUCCACAAACCUCCAUCCACCAGUCAAACUCGUUAGUAGCUUAAUGAGCCAUCUCGUCAGAGACAGCAAAGGUUACCUAGACCAAGAGUGGUGAGUAACUGUGGGGAGACGGAGUCCCUUGUCCUGGUGCUAAAACUUCUCUGCCUCUUUUUCUUUCCUGUCCAUCUCUCCAACGCUUCCUUUCCACUCCUUUUUCUUUAGACUCCUCCUGACUUGCUUGAAUAGAUCCAUUUUCCUGAGAUCAGUUGCAGCAAUUUUGCAGGUUCAUGAAAGCAGGUUGCACCGGAGGCUGGUGGACCCCAGUGUGGUGUCUGCAGCUGAGCACGCUGGAUCGUCAGCGCAGCCUCGUCACAGCCUCUGAUGCCCAAAUGGUGCCUCUGUCCCACAGGUUGUCCCUGAAGCUGUGAGGUGACCACCUAAGCUGAUCACAGAUAAAGAUCAUCCAGAAAACUCCGAAGAGGCGAGAAGCCAGCUAAACCCGGGAGUCUUUGAAGAUUUUGUCAGACUUCAGUUAAUGAGAUCAGUGUCUCCUGAAUCAGGCUCGGGUGUGACUCAGCUGUGAUCAGACAGCAUCACCUCCUGAUGGGCUCAUUUCCCAUUCCCACUUUUGACUGCAGCCACCUGGAUAGAGCAAGUCACUUCCUAGGCAGUUCAGACACUAAGUAUGGGAACGGAAAGCACUUACAACAGGUAAAAUAUUUUUAAGGAAUUCAGGCUCUGGCUUUCCUCCACUCAUUGCCUGUCCUGAGGGAUUCCUGAAGCGCCCUGUACUUGGUGCCGGGCUGACAGGCACGGCUUUGGGGCGAUCCAAGAACUGAGCGAGCGUGCAGAGUAAACAUCUCUCGGAUAAACAGGGAUUUUAUACAUUAUACGUUUGAGAGACCCACUGCGUGGGAUGGAUUUCCUCACCCAGGAAAGGAUUAGAGAUCAGCAAGGGGCUUCCUCGUGCACUGGUUGCUCCAGGAGCUGCAGCACAGUGGGUCUGGGGUUAUCAUCAGCACAGCCAGCCUGCAAGGGCUGCUUUCCCUUCAAAGGGCUGGCAGCGCAAGGCAUGGCUCGAAUUCCUUGGACUAUGGAUCCGCUUAGAAGGACUUAAGUGAUUA
Harpia harpyja (harpy eagle) is the source of this 2151-nucleotide long non-coding RNA. RefSeq lists it as uncharacterized. The transcript has 3 exons. The record is from RefSeq and is a predicted model, not a curated record. NCBI's taxonomy places the organism in Eukaryota, Metazoa, Chordata, Aves, Accipitriformes, Accipitridae.